GAGGUUGUGGCUCAGCGGUAGAGUGUUUGCCUAGCAGCACGAGGCACUGGGUUUGAUCCUCAGCACCACA
Molecule: transfer RNA, 70 nt
Filed under: Marmota monax (woodchuck)
Lineage: Eukaryota; Metazoa; Chordata; Mammalia; Rodentia; Sciuridae
Description: tRNA.Undet
Source: RNAcentral